Molecule: microRNA precursor, 92 nt
Filed under: Canis lupus familiaris (dog)
Lineage: Eukaryota; Metazoa; Chordata; Mammalia; Carnivora; Canidae
Also listed under: 1 other name
Description: mir-8799 microRNA precursor family
Rfam family: mir-8799 microRNA precursor family
Source: Rfam by way of RNAcentral
GGGGGGAGAUCGGAUCCUGGGCUGUGUCCCCCCACGCUCAGGGCUCUGGGGCCUGUGCUGUUGGAAUCGAGCUCCCGGAAGGGCAGCCCUAU